This 441-nucleotide ribosomal RNA is filed under the name uncultured bacterium. Its description in RNAcentral is "partial 16S ribosomal RNA". It matches the Rfam family "Bacterial small subunit ribosomal RNA", at positions 339 to 795 of the family's 1533-position model. The record is from RNAcentral.
CUACGGGUUGCUCCAGUAAAGAAUCUUCCGCAAUGGGGGCAACCCUGACGGAGCGACACCGCGUGGUGGAUGAAGGCUUUCGAGUUGUAAACACCUUUUAUGAGGGAAGAAGAUCUGACGGUACCUCAUGAAUAAGCCCCGGCUAAUUACGUGCCAGCAGCCGCGGUAAUACGUAAGGGGCAAGCGUUAUCCGGAAUUAUUGGGCGUAAAGCGUCCGCAGGCUGUGUAUCAAGUGGGUUAUGAAAUACCGAAGCUCAACUUCGGUGCUGUAAUCCAAACUGGUACACUAGAGUAAUGGAGAGGUGCGUGGAAUUGUGCAAGUAGGGGUAAAAUCCGUAGAUAUGCACAGGAACACCAAAAGCGAAGGCAGCGCACUGGCCAUUUACUGACGCUCAGGGACGAAAGCGUGGGGAGCGAAAGGGAUUGGAUACCCUUGUAGUC